UCUGCUUCUCUCUCAUCAUCGGCAUAUCCGACCGCCUCUACCAUUGGGUCGAGUUGCCCGCCCUCGAAUACGGACGGAGGCUGUCGCAGAGUCUCAUUCCCG
RNAcentral lists this small RNA (102 nucleotides) under Goniomonas pacifica. Its description in RNAcentral is "partial Cyanobacteria transfer-messenger RNA". The record is from RNAcentral. Lineage: Eukaryota; Cryptophyceae; Goniomonadida; Goniomonadaceae.